This 2785-nucleotide long non-coding RNA is filed under the name Sus scrofa (pig). RNAcentral describes it as "lncRNA (ENSSSCG00050039249.1)". The record is from RNAcentral. Lineage: Eukaryota; Metazoa; Chordata; Mammalia; Artiodactyla; Suidae.
GAAGGGGCCAGAAGGAUGAUGCUCCAAGAAGUGCAGAGGGGUUGCCUCCCUUUGAAGCAAACUUUGAACCAUGGAGAGGGAGGCCGGACAGAAGGUGACAAGUAACAUUCCAGAUGGCAGAGUCUCCUUCAGCCUGAGCCUCUCAUGACCAGAUGCAAGCAGAGCCCUAGGCUGGAUGCCCAGGCUGUCUCUCGUGGUGGUGUAUCGUGGCUAUCACUGUGCAUCAGCAGAGCACUGGGACUCUAGUUGAUUGGGUGAUAUUUCACUUGGAGACCAUCCUCCCUUCGCUGGUGACCUCAUCAUCAGUCACAUGUCACCACACUGGAGAAAUUAAAUCUCGACCUUCGUGGCAACACUAGUCUCCACCUAUUGAUGGACAGCUCCUUUGUCCUUCAGCUGCCCUUUAACUGUGCAGAGGUCCUAUUAAGCCAUCAAAGCCCACAGCUAGCAUGUGGGCAUGUCCAACAUGAAGGAACAAAACAGAGCUUUUGGCGGGGGGGGACAAGAUUUCCUUUCCUUGUUACUUCAUUCUUUUUCAUUCGUAGGAAAUGGGAUGCCUCUUCAAAGAGAAUGCUCUUUGAGAGAAGAAGGUUGAAAGAAAUGAGUCACUGGGAGAUCAGGGCUAUUUAUUGUGGAUAUUUGUCUCUUGAAGGCUCUUAGAAUGUGUGUAUCUAUUAGAACCAUGAUCAUUGACAACAUGGCUUCUCUUUUAUUUGGUGUUAGGCUGCACUUCUCUGCAGAAUACCUUGGCUUCCAUUAAUUGCUUAACUUUGGAAACUUAACCAAGCAGGGAAGAGGGAGGCUAUGUGGGGAAAGAGAGGGCUGGAGCACAGCAACCCCAAUGAGACCUGAGGCAAUCUCAGAUCUCAGUUUCCCCUGCUGGAGAAUGGGGCUGGAGGUAACGCUUACCACACUGACUGGUUACAAGGAGUCAAGGAGUAAUGUAUGAAAGAUAGCUGCUGCUUCGUCAGUGCCACAGAGGGUUUUGUUGAAUAAUUAAUAGGCUCUGUCUGUCACUAAGAAUGUCUUAAUGGUUUACUGGCACUUCUUUGGGCCAGGCACUGUGUUUCACGUGCUUUAAAUUUUUUCAUUUGAUCUUUACAGUAAUUUAUAAUAGUAUCCUCAUUGUACAGAGAGAAAAAUCAAGGUUUAGGACUAGUAACUAGGUUACCAGGUAUAGGUUGAUACAGCUAGCAAGUGGCAUAACCCCUGAACUCCAGGCUCCCUGCUGCAUCCACCACACUACACUACUCCUGCCAGAAGCUUUCAGUGUAUUUUUACUCCCCAAAACCUUGCACACAAGGAUGAACCCUUGAACCAGAAUACACAGCUUUGAUAAACUGUAUCUGAUAGAGGAGCAGAGGCCUGGAUUUGAAAACUGGUUCUACCGCCUACUGAUUCUGUGAUGUUGGGAAGCUUAUUUAUCCCCAGCACUCAGUUUCUCAUGUUUGAUGGAUGCUCAGAGAUUCUGCUCCCUAAGGUGAUCCUGAGGAUUGGCCGAGAUGCAGAUCAACAAUGUCUCACAAAUAAUGUUUCUCAAUCUGUUCAGUGAAACUUGGCUGGGACUUAGGUGAGGGUUAUUGGAUUGGAGAAUCUCCUUAAGGAUGGGUUUGUACUGUAUUAAAUAAACCAGGCUGCUGUCAUAGAAGAACCAACUACUGCAAUUUGUCCCACUCCUUCUGAGUCCUACAAGUUCAGGCCUAGAGUCUGCACGAGAAACUGCUUAGUGUUUUCAAGUAAUCGGCCACCACAACAACCAAGAGAGUUUGUUGUAAAUGCCAAUAGUGAUAGACUGAAUUUGAGGAAAAAAAAAAAAAAAAAAAAAAAAGAAGAAGAAGAAGAGGGGGGGAUUUAUUGACCAGAGAAAAAACAAGCCAAAGCCUUGGCUAAUUUGUGUAAUCAGCUUUAUCAAUUUGCAUAAAUUGUGCAUCAGGCUAUAUUCCUCUUGGGCAUAAUAAGCCCAAAUUUAGUUUUUCUAAUUUUAAAGUCAUCAGUCGCUUUUUUUUGCUUCUUCUGUUCCUUUCUGGGACUCGUGUGGGUCACACCUCCAUGCAUCUGUCAGGUGGUCUAUGAGUCCCUAAUUCUCAGGGACCCUGUCAGUGCCCGGCUAUAGCAUCUAAUGCUUAUUUUCCAAAAUUGGUCCAGCCUCGACCCUCUACCCUCCCCACUAAUUCAUGCCUUUUUGUCUAGAUUUCAUAUGCCCCUUUUUUUGUUAUGUCUUCAUUCAGAUUAAAAUCUUUGAAAUAUUUUAAAAUGAACCCCUUCCACUUGCUGUGCCUUUCUGCCACAUCCUUUCAAAUUACUCUGGCCAAUUCUAGAUUGUUCCCUAGCAGGCUCUCUGCCUUAGAUUCUCUGCCUCAGAUUCCAUUGCUUCCUCUCCUUACUUCUUUCUCAACACUCAUUAUUUCUGCUAAGGGUCUCUAAACAGUUCUAAAGGGUCUCAGAAGGCUUUGCUUCUGCUUUGAGAUUAUAAGAUGGAUUGCAAUAUUGAGCAUCUUUUCAUGUGCUUUUUGGCCAUCUGUCUGUCUUCUUUGGGGGAAGAGGGAUGAAUUAGGAGGUUAGGAUUGAUAUAUACACACUACUAUAUAUAAACUAAACAGGUAACCAGAACAUACUGUAUUGCACAGAGCAAUCAAUACUCUGUAAUCAUCAAUAUGGGAAAAGAAUCUGAAAAGGAAUGGAUAUGUGUGUGUGUGUGUGUGUAUGAUUCACUUUGCUAUACACCUGAAACUAACACAACUUUGUAAGUCAACUAUAUUCUAAUAAAAUUUUAAUUUUAAUUUAA